ACCCGUCCCGUGCGUCCCCGGACGUGGCUCUCAGCCCCGGGAACGUCGAGACUGGAGC
RNAcentral lists this microRNA precursor (58 nucleotides) under Echinops telfairi (small Madagascar hedgehog). RNAcentral's name for it is "Ete-Mir-1247_pre stem-loop". The record is from RNAcentral. Lineage: Eukaryota; Metazoa; Chordata; Mammalia; Afrosoricida; Tenrecidae.